GCGGAGGAGCAUGUGGUUUAAUUCGAUGAUACGCGAGGAACCGUUACCUGGGCUCGAACGUAAGAUGACUGUAGGUGAAAGCUUACAUCUCUUCGGAGCAUUUUACGAGGUGCUGCAUGGUUGUCGUCAGCUCGUGCCGUGAGGUGUCGGGUUAAGUCCCAUAACGAGCGCAACCCUACCUUUAGUUGCCAUCAGGUAAUGCUGGGGACUCUAAAGGAACUGCCUACGCAAGUAGUGAGGAAGGCGGGGAUGACGUCAAAUCAGCACGGCCCUUACGUCCAGGGCUACACACGUGCUACAAUGGCCGAUACAGAGGGCAGCUACCUGGUGACAGGAUGCAAAUCUCCAAAGUCGGUCUCAGUUCGGAUCGGAGUCUGCAACCCGACUCCGUGAAGUUGGAUUCGCUAGUAAUCGCGCAUCAGCCAUGGCGCGGUGAAUACGUUCCCGGGCCUU
RNAcentral lists this ribosomal RNA (453 nucleotides) under uncultured Sphingobacteriales bacterium. RNAcentral describes it as "bacterial SSU rRNA". It matches the Rfam family "Bacterial small subunit ribosomal RNA", at positions 929 to 1382 of the family's 1533-position model. Lineage: Bacteria; Pseudomonadati; Bacteroidota; Sphingobacteriia; Sphingobacteriales. The record is from RNAcentral.